RNAcentral lists this ribosomal RNA (117 nucleotides) under Caldifarciminota bacterium. The record is from RNAcentral. Lineage: Bacteria; Pseudomonadati; Caldifarciminota.
CCGGGCUGCCAUACCGGCGGGGCCACACCCGUUCCCAUUCCGAACACGGAAGUUAAGCCCGCCAGGGCCGAUGAUACUGCCUCCGCGAGGAGGUGGGAAAGUAGGUCGCAGCCCGGG